RNAcentral lists this ribosomal RNA (122 nucleotides) under Ricinus communis (castor bean). Lineage: Eukaryota; Viridiplantae; Streptophyta; Magnoliopsida; Malpighiales; Euphorbiaceae. The record is from RNAcentral.
GGGUGCGAUCAUACCAGCACUAAUGCACCGGAUCCCAUCAGAACUCCGAAGUUAAACGUGCUUGGGCGAGAAUAGAACUAAGAUGGGUGACCUCUUGGGAAGUUCUCGUGUUGCACCCCAGG